AUGUUCAACAGGAUUCUAACCAACCACUUCUUAAGUUACUUGGUUAGGUUCAUUCAUUCACUCAUUCAUUCAUUGAUACGUGCAUUCACUUGGCAGAUAUUUAGGCCCUAGACUGGGUGUUGGACAAGCAGCAAAGAACAAGAUUUUUCCAGCCUUCAUGGGUCUUACAUUAGUCCUUAUGUGCAUAACAAAUUCAGUCUUUCUUCAGUUGUAAAAGAACAACCAGUGUUAUGAGGGUAUAUGGGAUGGGGGGGGGUUGAGAUCUUUUCUGGACAGAUGAGGGAGGCCUUUCUGAAAACGCUCACACCCGAAGAUGGAGUAGAAGGUGGCUGAGUGGGCAGGGAACAGAGUCCCUGGCAGAGGGAAUGGCAUGAGCGAGGCUCUGAGUCAGGAUGUUGCAUGUGUGGUCCUUGAGGAACUGAAAGGCAGGAGCGUGAUGGGGAAAGGAACCGGAGAUCAGGCAGUACCUCGGUCGUGUGGGCUCUUGGGGUCCUUGCUUAGAGUUUGGAUUUUAUCCUAGACCCCUGGAGAAACACUGGAAGGUUUAAAGUAGGGAAGAAGUUUGCCCUGACUUAAUUAUAGAACCCAUGAAAGAGGGUCGCAAAUCCCACCCUGAUGAGCCCUGAGGAUGUAAUUUUUGGUUCUUCCACACUGUGGCGUCCUGGUGCCGUGCCUCAGCAUGAGGCUUGGUCUUGGGCAGUCCUGGAAAACUCUCUGGCUUUCUCUGGAAAAAACCACUCUCCAGCAUUCCCUGGGCUCCUUGCAUUUUUUCAUUCCUGAGCUUCUGUGCUGGUGAGGGGAGAUGAAUCAGAUCCAGUCCUGGGAGAUCCAGACUUUUGGUGGCUGAUGCCCUGAGAGCCAGGCAAUAAGUGCCAGGGGUGCUGGGAGCCACAGAGGGCUUCCUCCUGAGUCCGGCACUGGGCUGGACUAGAGGAUGCAGUGGUCACUCCAGGCGAAGGAGAUUCGUGUGCAAAGGCUUAGCCCCCUGGUGGAACUGCUGUGCUUGGGGACUCGUGAGCAGAGCAGCUAAAGCAGGAUGGGGGGGUGGAGGUGGAGAGGGGCAGGAGUUGAUGGGGAGAGCUGGGAUGGGAGAUGCCUGGAGUGCAGGGUCCUGAUCCUCUGGGUACCAGGGAGGCGUGGCUUGAGCAAUGGGAUGUGAGAACAAUGAGUUGGUGGGAGGCGGAGGAUCAGAAAGGCAGCGCUGUGAACUGGUUGGAGAGAAUGAGUGGUCACUGGGUGAAACCUUGUCACUCCCACCUACCCACACAUACACAGUAAAAGGCUCUGUGCCUCUUUCUGUCCCGUGCCCUGAUGGGUCAUUUCCCCAUUGGUUGGCCCUCCUGAGCUGUUUCACUGGGAUUUGAUCACACCCUGGGCUCCAGGCAAACAGGUGUGAGCAUCACUGUGACUCAGACUUUCUAGGUGCUUCUGGACACAUCCUUUAACCCUCUCAGCCUCAGUUUCUUCAUCUGUGAAAUGGAAGUGAUAAUAGGGUUGUUGAGGAUUGAUGACGGAGAGUAAAGUCUUAAGCUUAUGCCUGGUACCUAGUGAUGGCUCGAUUAUCUUUAUUUUUGGAUGGUAAUGGCCCAGGCCAAUGUCAUAAAUGGCCCUUUGGGGACUCCUUCUCUGUGGCCAUAAGUCUGUAAUCUGAACUGGAAACAAGUGUCCCCAGCAGCCCUGAAGGAAGCCUCUGGUGGGAUGCUGAGUGAUUUGGCCUUUUCCUUUCUCCCACUGGAGUGUGGCCCAGGGCUGGGCUCAGAGGCUACACCAGGUCUUAGCUGUCUGUUAGUGCCCUAGCACUCAGCACAAGGCUGGCCUAUGAUGGUUCCGUAAAUACUAAGCAAACAAACAAAACUUAAAGGAGUUCCUGCCGUGGUGCUGUGGGUUAAGAAUUGGACUUCAGAGUGGCCUGGGUCACUGUGGAGGUGUGGGUUGACCCUGAGCCCAGUGGAGUGGGUUAAAGGAUCCAGCUUGCUGCAGCUAAUUCAGUCCCUGGCCUGGGAACUUCCAUAUGCCACACACUUGGCCAUAAAAUUUUAAAAAUCAGUCAAUCAAUCUAUCAAUCAUCCUGCUAAUACCUUUAUCUUAUGGCUGAAGAAUCUGGAGCCCAGAGAGGGACGGUGACUCAUCUCAGGUCACCCAGCCCUUCAGUGGCAGGGCUUGGACCUGGCUCCUGUAUUUUUUGCAAUUCUUAUUUUUAAAAUACUGAUAAUUUAAAAGAGUUCCCAAGUUGGCCAGGGGAGGGGUACCAAUGGAAUGGACAUUCCAAGGCAAUUCUGGGGAACCUCCUGGCUAGAAGGACCCCAAGGAUAUCAUGUCCAACCUCCCAGUUUACAUUUGGGGAAACCGAGGCCCAGAGAGAGGUAGAGACUGGCUCAGAGUUGCCAGAGAGCAGGAAAGCAGUCACAAGGCCCAUUUCCAAUAACCUGCAGUAGGUGGGUGGGCUCUUCCCCGCAGCCCACUGUCUCGUGUCUAAGAAAGUGAAUUAGAGCAUGAUCAGUGGUUUCCUGAGGAAGUUCUGGGUUUUAAUUGUGUUGAGGAGAAGGACCGUAUCCGGAACUGUGCGUGCCCAUGUGAUGCCCGUGGAGCCGGGCCUGGCACAGCUAUUUCAGACCAAGCCACAAGGUCCUAUUUAUAGGCCGAUGUGAUUAGGUUGAUGUGGGUAGAAGUGACCCGCCUCUGCCCAGCCCAGCUAUGGCGGAGGAAGAGGCUCUCGGGGGUGACUCUGACCCAUGGCCCAGCACCAUGGUGGUGGAACACCCUGAGUUCCUCAAGGCAGGGAAGGAGCCCGGACUGCAGAUCUGGCGCGUGGAGAAGUUCGACCUGGUUCCUGUGCCCCCCAACCUUUACGGAGACUUCUUCACAGGCGAUGCCUAUGUCAUCCUGAAGACGGUGCAGCUGAGGAACGGGAACCUGCAGUAUGACCUCCACUACUGGCUGGGCAAUGAAUGCAGCCAGGAUGAGAGCGGGGCGGCUGCCAUCUUCACCGUGCAGCUGGAUGACUACCUGAACGGUCGGGCCGUGCAGCACCGCGAGGUCCAGGGCUUCGAGUCAGCCACCUUCCUUGGCUACUUCAAAUCUGGUCUCAAGUACAAGAAAGGAGGCGUGGCAUCAGGAUUCAAGCACGUGGUACCCAACGAAGUGGCGGUGCAGAGACUCUUCCAGGUCAAAGGGCGGCGUGUGGUCCGCGCCACCGAGGUGCCUGUGUCCUGGGAGAGCUUCAACCGUGGCGACUGCUUCAUCCUGGACCUGGGCAACGACAUCUACCAGUGGUGUGGCUCCAACAGCAAUCGGUAUGAGAGGCUGAAGGCCACCCAGGUGUCUAAGGGCAUCCGGGACAAUGAGCGGAGUGGCCGGGCCCAUGUGCACGUGUCUGAGGAGGAUGCCGAGCCUGCCGGGAUGCUCCAGGUGCUGGGCCCCAAGCCAACUCUGCCCGAAGGUACUGAGGACACAGUGAAGGAGGACGCGGCCAACCGCAAGCUGGCCAAGCUCUACAAGGUCUCCAACGGCGCAGGCACCAUGACAGUCUCCCUCGUGGCCGAUGAGAACCCCUUCGCCCAGGGGGCCUUGAAGUCAGAGGACUGCUUCAUCCUGGACCACGGCAAAGAUGGGAAGAUCUUUGUCUGGAAAGGUAAGCAGGCCAACACGGAGGAGAGGAAGGCUGCCCUCAAAACGGCCUCCGACUUCAUCUCCAAGAUGAACUAUCCCAAGCAGACCCAGGUCUCCGUCCUUCCCGAGGGCGGUGAGACCCCACUGUUCAAACAGUUCUUCAAGAACUGGCGGGACCCAGACCAGGUGGACGGCCCGGGCCUGAGCUAUCUCUCCAGCCACAUCGCCAACGUGGAGCGUGUGCCCUUCGACGCUGCCACUCUGCAUACCUCCACGGCCAUGGCUGCCCAGCACGGCAUGGAUGACGAUGGCACAGGCCAGAAACAGAUCUGGAGAAUCGAAGGCUCCAACAAAGUGCCUGUGGACCCUGCCACGUACGGACAGUUCUACGGUGGUGACAGCUACAUUAUCCUGUACAACUACCGUCAUGGUGGCCGUCAGGGACAGAUCAUCUACAACUGGCAGGGCGCCCAGUCCACCCAGGAUGAGGUCGCCGCGUCUGCCAUCCUGACUGCCCAGCUGGAUGAGGAGCUGGGAGGUACCCCAGUCCAGAGCCGUGUGGUCCAAGGCAAGGAACCCGCUCACCUCAUGAGCCUGUUUGGUGGGAAACCCAUGAUCAUCUACAGGGGUGGCACCUCCCGCGAGGGUGGACAGACAGCCCCCGCCAGUACCCGCCUCUUCCAGGUCCGGGCCAGCAGCUCUGGAGCCACCCGAGCCGUUGAGGUGAUCCCCAAGGCCGGCGCACUAAACUCCAACGAUGCCUUUGUCCUGAAAACCCCCUCGGCUGCCUACCUGUGGGUGGGGACAGGAGCCAGCGAGGCCGAGAAGACCGGGGCCCAGGAGCUGCUCCGCGUGCUUCGGGCCCAACCUGUGCAGGUGGCAGAAGGCAGCGAGCCAGACAGCUUCUGGGAGGCCCUGGGCGGGAAGGCCGCCUACCGCACGUCCCCACGGCUGAAGGACAAGAAGAUGGACGCCCACCCUCCCCGCCUCUUCGCCUGCUCCAACAAGAUUGGACGUUUUGUGAUCGAAGAGGUUCCUGGCGAGCUCAUGCAGGAGGACCUGGCCACUGAUGACGUCAUGCUCCUGGACACCUGGGACCAGGUCUUUGUCUGGGUUGGGAAGGAUUCCCAAGAGGAGGAAAAGACAGAAGCCUUGACCUCUGCUAAGCGGUACAUCGAGACGGACCCAGCUAAUCGCGACAGGAGAACCCCCAUCAAUGUGGUGAAGCAAGGCUUUGAGCCUCCUUCCUUUGUGGGCUGGUUCCUCAGCUGGGAUGACAACUACUGGUCGGUGGAUCCCUUGGACAGGGCCAUCGCUGAGCUGGCUGCCUGAAGAAGGGCAGGCCCCACCCAUCACCGGUCAGUGCCUUUCAGAACUGUCCAUCCCUCAAGGAGACCUUAGAGCGUGCAGGGCCACUCUGGUGUGUGCGUGUGUGGUUUUGUUGUUGGUUUUUUGUUGUUGUUGUUGUUGUUGUUUUUAUAGUAGCCAAAUACAGCCCUGAGAAAAUACAGGGUCCUUGCAAAAUUGUCUCCAGUAUCUGUGCUUUGGGAAAUUGAAUUCAAUAAAAGCUUUUUGAAGUGA
Non-coding RNA from Sus scrofa (pig), 5190 nucleotides. The record is from RefSeq and is a predicted model, not a curated record. NCBI's taxonomy places the organism in Eukaryota, Metazoa, Chordata, Mammalia, Artiodactyla, Suidae.